RNAcentral lists this ribosomal RNA (442 nucleotides) under uncultured bacterium. Its description in RNAcentral is "partial 16S ribosomal RNA". It matches the Rfam family "Bacterial small subunit ribosomal RNA", at positions 338 to 795 of the family's 1533-position model. The record is from RNAcentral.
CCUACGGGAGGCAGCAGUGGGGAAUAUUGGGCAAUGGGCGCAAGCCUGACCCAGCAACGUCGCGUGAAGGAAGAAGGCUUUCGGGUUGUAAACUUCUUUUAAGAGGGAAGAGCAGAAGACGGUACCUCUUGUAUAAGCCACGGCUAACUACGUGCCAGCAGCCGCGGUCAUACGUAGGUGGCCAGCGUUGUCCGGAUUUACUGGGUGUAACGGGCGUGCAGCCGGGAAGACAAGUCAGAUGUGAAAUCCCGCGGCUCAACCGCGGAACUGCAUUUGAAACUGGUUUUCUUGAGUACCGGAGAGGUAAGCGGAAUGCCUAGUGUAGCGGUGAAAUGCGUAGAUAUUAGGAGGAACACCGGUGGCGAAGGCGGCCUGCUGGACUGUGACUGACGUUGAGGCCCGAAGGCGUGGGGAGCAAACAGGAUUAGAUACCCCUGUAGUC